GACGGAGGAUCCAAGCGUUGUCCGGAUUUACUGGGUUUAAAGGGUGCGUAGGCGGACGAUUAAGUCAGUGGUGAAAGCCUGUAGCUUAACUACAGAAGUGCCACUGAAACUGGUUGUCUUGAGUACGGUUGAGGUUGUUGGAAUGCAUCAUGUAGCGGUGAAAUGCUUAGAUAUGAUACAGAACACCAAUUGCGAAGGCAGACAACUAAGCCGUAACUGACGCUGAGGCACGAAAGCGUGGGGAGCAAACAGGAUUAGAUACCCUGGUAGUCCACGCUGUAAACGUUGAUUACUCGCUGCUGGCGAUACACUGUCAGCGGCUAAGCGAAAGCGUUAAGUAAUCCACCUGGGAAGUACGAUCGCAAGAUUGAA
This 372-nucleotide ribosomal RNA is filed under the name uncultured bacterium. Its description in RNAcentral is "bacterial SSU rRNA". It matches the Rfam family "Bacterial small subunit ribosomal RNA", at positions 524 to 898 of the family's 1533-position model. The record is from RNAcentral.